ACAAAUUCCGUCCCGGAGACUCGAUUUUUUUCUAGCCGAUCUUCGGCCUCGUAGAGACCGCGAAGAGUUCAAGUCAGGCUCGACUCCGAUAAAUUCGGAGAGACGAAGCGCAGCGAUAAGGCCGACUUUGCACUCGUCAAGUUUCGCGCAACUCCGAGACUCGAGCGAUCCUUUCCGCCCGAUCAUUUCCCGCCGCCGUGGACUCCGCGAAGCGUUCGCCAAGCUCGACAAAAAUAAAUAGAAGACACGAACGGCGCAACCUUGCCACCGCCACGCCGGACUACACACCGGAGAGAGUUCUAAUUCGGCCUACGUUCCGCGCUAUCUUUCGCGGCCAUUUGGCACGGCCGGGCGCGAUUACGCGUCAAAUCGCGAUGCACGUCGCCCGCGGCACGGACGUGAUCCGCCAUUUAUUCGCCCUAAUCGAUCGCACUAAUUGCGCCCCGGGCCGUGGCUCGAGUGUUAUCAAUUAGAAGCCACCAAAGUGGAAUUGUCGCGGGCAAUUAGCCCGCGUCGCCGCGCUCCGCCGGGCUACGACGGUGAAUCAGCGUCGCUACGUCAUCGUCGUCGACAUCGACGUCGUCGUCUCGAUUGCACGUCGCGACGGCACGUCAGUCCGCAAAAAGCUCCCGGAGAUAAUGGAGCUCAUCGGCCGGGGGCGGAGGACCCGGCGGGAGUAGUUUUCGUUAUUGUUUGUCGCGCGCGAUCGCCAUCGCGCGGGGGCGGCAAAGGGCGAAGGGACUCUCCCGAGCGGGGUAAACACGCGUCAUCGGUAUAGCCGGCGACUCCACGGGGGCUCGCGAUUUCGCCGGACGCUCCAUUAGUACACGGGAUACCGGGCGGGCUCGAGUUGGCCGAGGGGUCACGUUGACAGUGCCUUUCGUUUGCGUUUGCGUUUGUCGCGGGGGAAAAAGAUCGUAAAACGGGACAUCGAUAUCUCUCCUCCCACCGCGGGAUGUUCCUUUCGCAAUGUGAGCACGCUUCUCCUGCCGUGAGUGUUCCUCUUGAAACACGGCAAAAGCAGCACCAUAUUCUAAAGGGAACAUUUCGCGUCUCCCGCAAUGAAUGCAUAAACGAAACGCACGGUCGGUUCGAUCGGCCGUCGUUAUCUUAACCGUUAUCGUCGCCGACGAUGAGAAGAGGGAAGAGAGAAACGGCAAUUAGGCGUACAUGAUUUCCGGAAACUCAGCUAGAAGAA
Long non-coding RNA from Harpegnathos saltator (Jerdon's jumping ant), 1198 nucleotides. RefSeq lists it as uncharacterized. NCBI's taxonomy places the organism in Eukaryota, Metazoa, Arthropoda, Insecta, Hymenoptera, Formicidae. The transcript has 2 exons. The record is from RefSeq and is a predicted model, not a curated record.